RNAcentral lists this long non-coding RNA (280 nucleotides) under Setaria viridis. RNAcentral's name for it is "long non-coding RNA (SVIR_LNC002099)". The record is from RNAcentral. Lineage: Eukaryota; Viridiplantae; Streptophyta; Magnoliopsida; Poales; Poaceae.
UUGGAGUUAUUGUACAUUGCUCCUUCAUUGUUUAUUUCAUUCCCUGCAAAAGGUUAGUGGACAACAAAUACUCGAGGGAUGCUUAAAGAAUUUUGAAAGUAUUUCAUUUUUUGCCAUGAGAUUAGUUGUUCACAUCCACGCUUAAGGAAAAUCGAAUUCAAAGAUUCAAAUAGCGUGGAUCCUAAAAUGCGUGCCAUUACUUUAUUUCAUCAAAAAAAAAUUUGAGGGACUCUUUUAUUUCAGAAAGGUUUUUUUCGAAACUUUAUUGUUUACCAAAUUU